UGCGUAGGCGGUCUGGUAAGUCAGAGGUGAAAGUUUGCAGCUUAACUGUAAAAUUGCCUUUGAUACUGUCAGACUUGAAACAGGUUGAGGUUGGCGGAAUGUGGCAUGUAGCGGUGAAAUGCAUAGAUAUGCCAUAGAACACCAAUUGCGAAGGCAGCCAGCUGGGCCUUGUUUGACGCUGAGGCACGAAAGCGUGGGGAGCGAACA
Molecule: ribosomal RNA, 207 nt
Filed under: uncultured bacterium
Lineage: Bacteria
Description: partial 16S ribosomal RNA
Rfam family: Bacterial small subunit ribosomal RNA
Source: RNAcentral